AUACGGAGGGUGCGAGCGUUAAUCGGAAUUACUGGGCGUAAAGCGUGCGUAGGCGGUUUGUUAAGUCAGAAGUGAAAGCCCUGGGCUCAACCUGGGAACGGCUUUUGAGACUGGCAGACUCGAGUUGAGUAGAGGGGAGUGGAAUUUCCGGUGUAGCGGUGAAAUGCGUAGAGAUCGGAAGGAACACCAGUGGCGAAGGCGACUCCCUGGACUCAAACUGACGCUGAGGUACGAAAGCGUGGGUAGCAAACGGGAUUAGAAACCCUAGUAGUCC
RNAcentral lists this ribosomal RNA (274 nucleotides) under uncultured bacterium. Its description in RNAcentral is "partial 16S ribosomal RNA". It matches the Rfam family "Bacterial small subunit ribosomal RNA", at positions 523 to 796 of the family's 1533-position model. The record is from RNAcentral.